This 484-nucleotide ribosomal RNA is filed under the name uncultured bacterium. Its description in RNAcentral is "partial 16S ribosomal RNA". It matches the Rfam family "Bacterial small subunit ribosomal RNA", at positions 30 to 507 of the family's 1533-position model. The record is from RNAcentral.
AUUGAACGCUGGCGGCAGGCCUAACACAUGCAAGUCGAGCGGAUGAAGGGAGCUUGCUCCUGGAUUCAGCGGCGGACGGGUGAGUAAUGCCUAGGAAUCUGCCUGGUAGUGGGGGAUAACGUCCGGAAACGGGCGCUAAUACCGCAUACGUCCUGAGGGAGAAAGUGGGGGACCUUCGGACCUCACGCUAUCAGAUGAGCCUAGGUCGGAUUAGCUAGUUGGUGGGGUAAAGGCCUACCAAGGCGACGAUCCGUAACUGGUCUGAGAGGAUGAUUAGUCACACUGGAACUGAGACACGGUCCAGACUCCUACGGGAGGCAGCAGUGGGGAAUAUUGGACAAUGGGCGAAAGCCUGAUCCAGCCAUGCCGCGUGUGUGAAGAAGGUCUUCGGAUUGUAAAGCACUUUAAGUUGGGAGGAAGGGCAGUAAGUUAAUACCUUGCUGUUUUGACGUUACCAACAGAAUAAGCACCGGCUAACUUCGUG